This 575-nucleotide long non-coding RNA is filed under the name Lathyrus oleraceus (garden pea). RNAcentral describes it as "Pisum sativum (pea) long non-coding RNA (PSAT_LNC038589)". The record is from RNAcentral. Lineage: Eukaryota; Viridiplantae; Streptophyta; Magnoliopsida; Fabales; Fabaceae.
UUCUAAGUUGGCCAUGCAAAAUGAAAUAAAUAUAAAAAAGAAAUUGGAUUAAAUGAAUUAAUAAACCCGGCCGUGGCAUUUUUGUAAUUUAAGCGUUCAUUAAGUGGAACGCUGCGUUCCAACAGACUGCGUGGCACGGCCUCAAUGGUCACAUGGGACAGAAACAGCAAAUCCAUGCAAGAAAACCAUCAAACACGAUCAAAUACAAUUUCUGGGCUCAUAUUUUUAGGGUUUAUGUGUGUUCAUCAUCGUGAUUUCCAGCAAGAACAUUGUUCCACCAAAAUCAAAAAAGCAACAUACCAAUCAACUCAACUUGCAGUGUACAUCACAAAUCCAACCUUGAUUUACACUAACUCAAACUAUCAAGAGAGAAAUAAGCAAAAACAUAUUUGACAACCAAACUUAGAUUCAAUGUUUCUUCCUUAAUACUCAACCAUUUCUUUCGAUUCAAAGCUCAAUACAUUCAUGGCAAAAAGAUCUGCAAGAAGCAUAGCACGAUUUGGACAAAGAUGUGAUUCGAAUUUUACCUGAUUUUGAAGACAGUGAUGGAACAGCGGUCCUUUGGUCGUGUUUAG